CUGCAGAAGAGACCGUGCACACACAGGCGUUACACAACCCUGUUAAAAGCAUCACUGUAUCAGACAUCAUCAUUUAUAAAGAACGCGUGUGCUCAACUGUCUGGCGCUGUUCCAUUUGCUAAUACAGGAUUUCCAAAACAGGAUAUCUCUUCUAUUGCCGGUCCCAGCAGAUGAUUCAGCUGGCCUUUAAUGAACAAAAGGCAGCCCAGCAAGGAAAUGGACUCGUACUAUUCAAGGAAAGAUAACCUCUUCUUUCCUUGAACAAGAGGAGGGACUGACAAAGAUUCUUUGCUUGGCCAAACCAGGUUCCUGAACCUUCUUCUAGGCCCAUCUGUGCACUUCCUUGUAAAUUUCACUUAGAGCAAGCACCCUGCAAAGUCACUUUAGGAAGAAGCAUCCCCUGACCCUCAACAUCUGAUCACCCUCCUUAUCUAAUCCGUUCCUACACUGUCCCCCAGGUGAAGAUGUCUGGUCACCGUGGCCUGUCUUCAGCAAAAAUCCUGUUAAUUGGUGUAGCCAGAAUCUCCCUCACCCGGGGUGUUUCUUCUUAGUCAUUUUCCAUGUGCUGACCCAGCUCCCACCCCCCUGCUCCUCAACUAUCAGUUCCCACUUGCCCAUUCGGACUUGAGCUUAAUCUCUCUCCCCCACUGCAGAAUCUCAUUCCCGUGGUCCCUAUACCUAGCAAGACGGUCCUGAAUAAAGUCUUCCCUACAGUGCUUUA
Long non-coding RNA from Gorilla gorilla gorilla (western lowland gorilla), 721 nucleotides. RefSeq lists it as uncharacterized. Lineage: Eukaryota; Metazoa; Chordata; Mammalia; Primates; Hominidae. The record is from RefSeq and is a predicted model, not a curated record. The transcript has 2 exons.